This 632-nucleotide ribosomal RNA is filed under the name uncultured fungus. RNAcentral describes it as "eukaryotic LSU rRNA". It matches the Rfam family "Eukaryotic large subunit ribosomal RNA", at positions 40 to 647 of the family's 3401-position model. Lineage: Eukaryota; Fungi. The record is from RNAcentral.
AUAUCAAUAAGCGGAGGAAAAGAAACUAACGAGGAUUCCCCUAGUAACUGCGAGUGAAGCGGGAAAAGCUCAAAUUUAAAAUCUGGCGGUCCUUGGCCGUCCGAGUUGUAAUUUAGAGAAGCGUCUUCCGCGCCGAACCGUGCACAAGUCUCCUGGAAUGGAGCGUCAUAGAGGGUGAGAAUCCCGUCUUUGGCACGGAAUCCCUGGUGCUUCUGUGAUGCGCUCUCGAAGAGUCGAGUUGUUUGGGAAUGCAGCUCAAAAUGGGUGGUGAACUCCAUCUAAAGCUAAAUAUUGGCGAGAGACCGAUAGCGAACAAGUACCGUGAGGGAAAGAUGAAAAGCACUUUGGAAAGAGAGUGAAACAGUACGUGAAAUUGUUGAAAGGGAAACGCUUGAAGUCAGUCGCGUCGACCGAGACUCAGCCUUGCCUCGGCUUGGUGUACUUCUCGGCUGACGGGUCAGCAUCAAUUUCGCCCCUUGGAUAAUGGCGAGGGAAAUGUGACACCUUUGCGGUGUGUUAUAGUCUCUCGUCGCAUGCAAGGGUUGGGAUUGAGGAACUCAGCACGCGCCUUUGGGUGUCGGGGCUUUGCCCACGAUACGUGCUUAGGAUGUUGGCGUAAUGGCUUUAAACGA